AAUAUGGUUUUAUUUAAAACCAUUGCAUAUUUUAUGGAAUUUCAAGG
This is a non-coding RNA of Picea glauca (white spruce), 47 nucleotides long. Lineage: Eukaryota; Viridiplantae; Streptophyta; Pinopsida; Pinales; Pinaceae. The record is from Rfam.